This 465-nucleotide ribosomal RNA is filed under the name Vreelandella stevensii. RNAcentral's name for it is "partial 16S ribosomal RNA". It matches the Rfam family "Bacterial small subunit ribosomal RNA", at positions 338 to 795 of the family's 1533-position model. The record is from RNAcentral. Lineage: Bacteria; Pseudomonadati; Pseudomonadota; Gammaproteobacteria; Oceanospirillales; Halomonadaceae.
CCUACGGGAGGCUGCAGUGGGGAAUAUUGGACAAUGGGGGGAACCCUGAUCCAGCCAUGCCGCGUGUGUGAAGAAGGCCCUCGGGUUGUAAAGCACUUUCAGUGAGGAAGAACGCCUGGUGGUUAAUACCCAUCAGGAAAGACAUCACUCACAGAAGAAGCACCGGCUAACUCCGUGCCAGCAGCCGCGGUAAUACGGAGGGUGCGAGCGUUAAUCGGAAUUACUGGGCGUAAAGCGCGCGUAGGUGGCUUGAUAAGCCGGUUGUGAAAGCCCCGGGCUCAACCUGGGAACGGCAUCCAGAACUGUCAAGCUAGAGUGCAGGAGAGGAAGGUAGAAUUCCCGGUGUAGCGGUGAAAUGCGUAGAGAUCGGGAGGAAUACCAGUGGCGAAGGCGGCCUUCUGGACUGACACUGACACUGAGGUGCGAAAGCGUGGGUAGCAAACAGGAUUAGAUACCCCGGUAGUC